CCAAAAAGUUAAACAAAGUACAAUAAUCGAAAAACCAAAUCCUGUAUAGUGUGACAGCAAAAUGUCUCAACCUUCAUCAGUGUACUUAUUCGGACGACUCAAAUGGUCAUGCACAACACAAAUAUGAUAAUUUCAUAGUGGUGAAUAUGGAAACAUAACACAACUGGAUGCAGCAGUCUAAGCAAAGAUAUAGGAUGUUCUAAACCUAGAGAUAUCCCUUCUCUUUGCAGCAUUGAAUUGCUCCAUCAAACAUUUCAUUAAGCCCAUACCUAAAUUCGAAUCCAGAAUCUGUCAGCUUCUUGGACGACAGGGCAUGGCCUUUGUGUCCCUUAAUACCCUUCAACGACUCUACUGUUGGUAUUUGGAAUUCUGGGUAGUUGGUAGAAAGAAAUUUAGANNNNNNNNNNNNCUCUUCGAUAGUUAUAACGUCUGAAGAACAAAUGUAUCUCCCUUUAGCAUUAGGAUAUUCAAGAAGGAAGAUGUGUGCCCUUGCUAGAUCAUCAACGUGCACCAUACAUGUAUUGAGAAGAAGAUUAUAUUGAUCUGGCUUACACAGAACCAUGGAUAAUGCUGCCUGCAGUGAGGCAGGGAGAUUCGGACAAAUGAAGGGACCGACAACAAAAGAAGGGAUUA
RNAcentral lists this unclassified non-coding RNA (633 nucleotides) under Hevea brasiliensis (rubber tree). The record is from RNAcentral. Lineage: Eukaryota; Viridiplantae; Streptophyta; Magnoliopsida; Malpighiales; Euphorbiaceae.